ACAUGGCGAUGCACAACAAGGCGGCCCCACCGCAGAUCCCGGACACCCGGCGGGAGCUGGCGGAGCUCGUGAAGCGGAAACAGGAGCUAGCGGAAACAUUGGCAGACUUGGAGAGACAGAUCUAUGCUUUUGAAGGAAGCUACCUGGAAGACACUCAGAUGUAUGGCAAUAUUAUUCGUGGCUGGGAUCGGUAUCUGACCAACCAAAAAAACUCCAAUAGCAAAAAUGAUCCAAGGAACCGGAAAUUUAAGGAAGCUGAACGGCUCUUCAGUAAAUCUUCAGUUACAUCAGCAGCUGCAGUAAGUGCGUUGGCAGGAGUUCAGGACCAGCUCAUUGAAAAGAGGGAACCAGGAAGUGGGACGGAAAGUGAUACUUCUCCAGACUUCCACAAUCAGGAAAAUGAGCCCAGCCAGGAGGACCCUGAGGAUCUGGAUGGAUCUGUGCAGGGAGUGAAACCUCAGAAGGCUGCUUCUUCCACUUCCUCAGGGAGUCAUCACAGCAGCCAUAAAAAACGAAAGAAUAAAAACCGGCACAGGAUUGAUCUGAAGUUAAACAAAAAACCACGAGCUGACUAUUAGAAGACUCAUUCGUGCAGAAGCUUCCAGGCUAUAGAGCCCUGCUUCCCAUCUCCGACCUCACAAAGAUGAACAUCCCUCACCUGAGUGUGUGGCCGUCCACCUCGCUCUCCCAGACCCAGUGCCUGUGACUCUUGAAUAGUUUGUUCUAAAUGUGGUGACGAGUCAUUUCUGUAAAACUUGGAUCAUUUAAUUUGUGUCAUUUUUAGUAACAGAAUUGCAGGAAGACCAAAACCUGGUUAUAUAAUCCCAACAAACUGCUAACCAUGCAUUUCUCCCUUCUUAGAAUGAAUGUCUUCCCCUAAACUGGCUGGCACCAGCUUUGUGUGUGAUACCCAUCAAGAAAUGUUCUCUGGUUUUAUCUCAUGCUGAAAGUAGAACACAAGUCACAUUUCAGACAGAGGCUGUAAAUAUCUGGCAUUUUCUUAUUUGGUUUUGUGUUUUAUUCUUUUUCUAUUGUUGUUUUUACCAUUGUAUUUUCUUCUGGGCCUUUUUUUGUAAUGCCUUUGUACAGCUCAUACCUUCCUGCUGGCAUAUCUGAUAAUCUGUUUCAUGCAGUUGCCAAUAUUCUUAACGGAAAAGAAACUCUGGUUUGUUGUUAAGUAAAAUGGGAAACUUGGCUCUUUGGUUUUUUGCAAGGGAAGGUAAAAGAGUGUUUAUUUAGUAAUUACCUAUCUUAAAUCUUUCUGAGUUGGAAGCAGAUUCCUAUUCAAGGAAUAGGAAAAAUGGAAAAACAUAAGUUUGAAUCAGUCCUUUCUAUUUUUAUUCUUUUGUAUAAAUAAAAUUUCACAGGCUUUGACUUCUCAUGUUUUACUUUUAAGCCUGUAAUUGUUUUUUCACUUAUUUAUUCAUAUCAUGCCUUAUGGAAAUUUCUUUCUUUUCCUAUAGUUUUCUCUCUGCUGGUAUUCGCCUAAUUAAAUAAUUGCUCUAAAAAUCA
This is an RNA transcript of Otolemur garnettii (small-eared galago), 1512 nucleotides long. It is a transcript of the gene named chromatin modification-related protein MEAF6 pseudogene, with no coding region annotated. Lineage: Eukaryota; Metazoa; Chordata; Mammalia; Primates; Galagidae. The transcript has a single exon. The record is from RefSeq and is a predicted model, not a curated record.